UACGACUACAUAUCAGGCAUAUCAAUAAGCGGAGGAAAAGAAACUAACAAGGAUUCCCCUUAGUAACGGCGAGUGAAGCGGGAAGAGCUCAAAUUUGAAAUCUUCAAGGUUUUACCUUGACGAAUUGUAGUUUAAAGAAGUGUUUUCUGUUGAGUUUCGGUAAAAGUUCUUUGGAAUAGGACAUCAUAGAGGGUGAGAAUCCCGUAUUUGACCAUUAUUUCCAGCUGUGUGAUACACUUUCAAAGAGUCGGAUUGUUUGGGAAUGCAGUCCAAAAUGGGUGGUAAAUUUCAUCUAAAGCUAAAUAUUGGCGAGAGACCGAUAGCGAACAAGUACCGUGAGGGAAAGAUGAAAAGAACUUUGAAAAGAGAGUUAAACAGUACGUGAAAUUGUCAAAAGGGAAGCGUUUGACACCAGUGUUGUUUUCUCGAAAAUCAAUUAAAAAGAAGUUGGAUUUUGUAUUGUUAAGACCUUAUCAGCUUACUGUACUUUUUUCUUGCUCUUUUUAAUGCACUUUUCGUUUAUCAAGUCAACAUCAAUUUCUUUUGUUGUAAAAGGGUCAUUGGAAGGUGGCUUUCACUUCGGUGAAAGUGUUUAUAGCCUUUGACUUCUGCAAUCGGAGAGAUUGAGGUCUGCAGCGUAGAUCCUUCGGGGUUAGAUACAUUUGUGCUAAGUUAUAGUUUUUCAUAGACAACAUGUUGACUAUGAUUAAUCAUGUAGCUUACUCGCUUAUGCUAUUUUACCUACGCUUAGGAUGUUGAUCUCUCCAGUCGAGC
Molecule: ribosomal RNA, 774 nt
Filed under: uncultured Neocallimastigales
Lineage: Eukaryota; Fungi; Neocallimastigomycota; Neocallimastigomycetes; Neocallimastigales
Description: partial large subunit ribosomal RNA
Rfam family: Eukaryotic large subunit ribosomal RNA
Source: RNAcentral